This 98-nucleotide transfer RNA is filed under the name SAR202 cluster bacterium. RNAcentral's name for it is "tRNA-Sec". It matches the Rfam family "Selenocysteine transfer RNA". The record is from RNAcentral. Lineage: Bacteria; Bacillati; Chloroflexota; Dehalococcoidia.
GGGAGCGGAUGGGUCCUGGUGGGCUUUGCGGACUUCAAAUCCGUUGGCCCCGACCCUUCGGUCGGGGCGGUGGGUUCGACUCCCUCUCGCUCCCGCCA